GACGAACCAAGCAAACGUUGUUCGGAAUCACUGGGCUUAAAGGGCGCGUAGGCGGUCUCUCAAGUCCGGGGUGAAAUCUUUCGGCUCAACCGGAAAAUUGCCUUGGAUACUGGGAGGCUCGAGUGAGGUAGGGGUAACGGGAACAUCCGGUGGAGCGGUGAAAUGCGUUGAUAUCGGAUGGAACGCCGGUGGCGAAAGCGCGUUACUGGACCUUUUCUGACGCUGAGUGCGCGAAAGCUAGGGUAGCGAACGGG
This 254-nucleotide ribosomal RNA is filed under the name uncultured bacterium. RNAcentral describes it as "partial 16S ribosomal RNA". It matches the Rfam family "Bacterial small subunit ribosomal RNA", at positions 524 to 776 of the family's 1533-position model. The record is from RNAcentral.